RNAcentral lists this long non-coding RNA (1664 nucleotides) under Pan troglodytes (chimpanzee). RNAcentral's name for it is "long non-coding RNA NONPTRT006193". The record is from RNAcentral. Lineage: Eukaryota; Metazoa; Chordata; Mammalia; Primates; Hominidae.
GCCUCUAUGUGCUCUGGGUGGCUGUGAGCACAGGAUGAGGCCAGCCAAGUCUCCUGUAACCCCCAUAAGCCACCUGCAGAGGCUGUCUGAAUUCUUUCAAAGAAGAAAUGACCACAAUUUAGGUUUGAAAUAUCUUUUUGCAAUAGAUAAUCUUAUUUACAUUAAUACAGAAUCAUUUUACAUUCCUAAAUCAGACACUAAUAGAUGCUUUAUUUUAGUGAAUUAUAAAGGAAAACAAAAAGGAAACUGUUGAGAAGUGUUCUUCAUUAACCUGUCUAACGACAGCCCGAGGAUCCUGAAACACAUGGAAACUGCGACAUGCUACCAGCAGAGGCUGGGGAAUGGGGGUUCUGCUCUCACUGAAUGGUGGGGAACCUUCAACUGCUUAGCCUGUGCUUUCCUUUUCUGAAUCAACAUUUACAAAGGAAAAAACAAUGAUUAGCACUGAAUAAUUUAAACACACUUCAGAAAAUAGAUGUCAACAGUGUAAGUGGGAGAACCAAGCCCCUGACUAGCAACAGUGGCAGGGCUUCAGUUCCCAAGGCAGCUGAAGUCUGGCCAGCACAGUGCUGCAGUGGGCUGUGGCUCAGCAGAAGGGCAGGAGCCCUCCAUGCCUGGCUUACAACAACAGGACUCAACAGUCAGGGACAGGCGGCCAUCCUGGAUGGGGUGGGAGCAAGGACUGUACAUCCUGACAAGGAUCACCACCCACACGGUCAGAGCAGAACCCUCAGGGACUCUCUGGGCCUCUACGUGCCUCCCAGGCACCGACUGUGCAGCUGCUUGGUACCCCGGGAAUAAAAACUAACUGAGCAGAGCAGCUGAUGCCUCGGCAGGGCCCCCCAUUAGGGGAGGACGGUGCUGGUGGAGCCUGGGGGCCCCACGCUCCCAGUGAAGACAACCUGUCAGGAAGAACUCAUUCUGGAACCUCCCAGAGGUUUGCUGAGAAGGAAAUUAAUCACAACGUAACUUGAUGCAGCUUAAGGCUUCAUUUCUAAGCUGUAAGCCCCUCACCCGAUAACUAAGAUAUCCACAAUAUUCAAUUCCAAAUCACCUUUUUUAGCCCUGCAAGAGUCUAACCAUCUCCCUCUGCCUGAGCCAGGGGCCGUCACCUACCAAUGGACAGGAAACUGCCACCAGCCUCUGGGGCUGCAUCCUACUGCCCGGGCUGUCCACUGUGACCUUUCCGUGGAGAGAGGUGUUGUCCCAUGAUUUUGCUGUUGCCAAGGCCGUCCAGAGGCUCUGCGGGUGGGAGCUCAGUGCUGCUGUUCUGGAAUCCUCCCGUCUCCCAGGUGCCCUGGCCCUUGGAGGGGCUGCUGCUUCCCGGCCUAGUUUCCAGUGGAUCUUUUUCCUGAGCCAAAGAGAUAGGCUGUUACCUUAUACUCAACAUUUCAAGGGAACACACCCCUGUGGGGAGCAUCUGUUGAUCCCUGGAAAGCAGCUGUGCCAAGAGAGGGGCGAGAACCCCACCUGCUGAGAUGAGCAUAAUAAACCAAAGUGGGUCCCAAGAUGACACGGCGAGCAAGCGCUACCCCUGGAGCAGCCCCCAGGCUUGCACAGCCCUGCGCUGUCCACGCAGGAGGGCAGCUUCCAAGCAGGCAGGACGUGAGGAGAUCUGAGUUCUAGGCCUGGCUCUGCCUGACUCGCCCUCUGUGACCGUGGGC